This 775-nucleotide ribosomal RNA is filed under the name uncultured Glomus. RNAcentral describes it as "SSU rRNA". It matches the Rfam family "Eukaryotic small subunit ribosomal RNA", at positions 338 to 1114 of the family's 1831-position model. Lineage: Eukaryota; Fungi; Glomeromycota; Glomeromycetes; Glomerales; Glomeraceae. The record is from RNAcentral.
GGCCUACCAUGGUGGUAACGGGUAACGGGGUGUUAGGGCACGACACCGGAGAGGGAGCCUGAGAAACGGCUACCACAUCCAAGGAUGGCAGCAGGCGCGCAAAUUACCCAAUCCCGACACGGGGAGGUAGUGACAAUAAAUAACAAUACGGGGUUCUUUAGGAUCUCGUAAUUGGAAUGAGUACAAUUUAAAUCUCUUAACGAGGAACAAUUGGAGGGCAAGUCUGGUGCCAGCAGCCGCGGUAAUUCCAGCUCCAAUAGCGUAUAUUAAAGUUGUUGCAGUUAAAAAGCUCGUAGUUGAAUUUCGGGGUUAGUAGGUUGGUCAUGCCUCUGGUAUGUACUGAUCUCACUGAUUCCUCCUUCCUUAUGAACCGUAAUGCCAUUAAUUUGGUGUUGCGGGGAAUUUGGACUGUUACUUUGAAAAAAUUAGAGUGUUUAAAGCAGGCUAACGCUUGAAUACAUUAGCAUGGGAUAAUGAAAUAGGACGUUCGAUCUUAUUUUGUUGGUUUCUAGGAUUGACGUAAUGAUUAAUAGGGAUAGUUGGGGGCAUUAGUAUUCAAUUGUCAGAGGUGAAAUUCUUGGAUUUAUUGAAGACUAACUACUGCGAAAGCAUUUGCCAAGGAUGUUUUCAUUAAUCAAGAACGAAAGUUAGGGGAUCGAAGACGAUCAGAUACCGUCGUAGUCUUAACCAUAAACUAUGCCGACUAGGGAUCGGAUGAUGUUAAUUUUUUAAUGACUCAUUCGGCGCCUUACGGGAAACCAAAGUGUUUGGGUUC